GACGAACGCUGGCGGCGUGCUUAACACAUGCAAGUCGAGCGGUAAGGCCCUUUCGGGGGUACACGAGCGGCGAACGGGUGAGUAACACGUGGGUGACCUGCCCUCAGCUCUGGGAUAAGCCUGGGAAACCGGGUCUAAUACCGGAUAUGACUCCAUGACGCAUGUUGUGGGGUGGAAAGCCUUGUGCGGCUGAGGAUGGGCCCGCGGCCUAUCAGCUUGUUGGUGGGGUGAUGGCCUACCAAGGCGACGACGGGUAGCCGGCCUGAGAGGGCGACCGGCCACACUGGGACUGAGACACGGCCCAGACUCCUACGGGAGGCAGCAGUGGGGAAUCUUGCGCAAUGGGCGAAAGCCUGACGCAGCGACGCCGCGGGAGGGA
This 379-nucleotide ribosomal RNA is filed under the name uncultured bacterium. RNAcentral describes it as "bacterial SSU rRNA". It matches the Rfam family "Bacterial small subunit ribosomal RNA", at positions 28 to 408 of the family's 1533-position model. The record is from RNAcentral.